GUUUCAGGGAGGGAUGGACCAGCUGGCCAGCAGUGCUCAAUAAUAACACUUGGGUUUAUGAUAUGCAUCUGGUGUUGAUGGAAUCUGGGGCUUUGGACACUUAAGGCUGGUCGUGUAACUGGAAUGCGCUUAGAGGACCAGGUAGCUCACGAUAAGAAACCCCUGCCACAAGCAGACCUGGGGCUUCUGGUUCUCAGGUGCUUUGCAGGUAUGCUGAUGGUGGUGAUGUGAGACCUGUACCACUCUGUGCUGAGAGGACAGAGAAGCCCGUGCCUGGGAGUGCCAGCCCCCUCUGAUGCGGCUCUCUCCUGUGGCUGUAUUAUACCCUUGACCUGUAACAAGGUGGUCUGAGUAUAAACGGAACUGUGAGUCCUUUCAGCAGUAGAACAUUUAAGGAGCAGAGCUGGGCUUCCUGUGUAAGAGGAAUCGCCAGUGAGGUCUGCUUGGGUCAUGUAACCAAGGGCUGCCUGCAGCGGGGAGGGGAAAGCGGCAGAAAGAAGGUGGAACCGUAGCCGUGCGUGCGUGCCGUGCGUGAGUGAUGAGGAGCUGCAGAUGGGUGGUAAGCGAACAUUGGAGCAGAGGUGCGCCUUCCGGGUCAGCGAAGAUCCCCACGCUGAGAAGGCACAUGGAAUGAUUGCAUUUCCUUUAUACCCAUGAAGUGGAAAUAUGUCUGUGUUACUUGUUUUGGACAAUGAAACAUAAGCAAAGUGGUUUGAGAGCUGGUUCCUGACUCUUUAAUACACUUUCUUCUGCUACAGUAAUUAGGGAAACCAGUGUUGAUAAGGUGGUGCCACAAGAUUGAAGAAGCUUGAAUUAGUAGUAGUACUUGUAGGAGAGCUGGGCUGGAAGUUUGCCCAUAUCCACAGUGAGAUGUCUAUGAGUGAACAAAAAGUAAGCUUGUAUGGUGAGAUUUGGAGCUUGUUUGUUACUCAGCAAAACAUAUCCUAUCCUGAUUACCAUGGUAGAAAGAGGACUGACUUGUGGGAAGCCUCUGUAAAAUAAAAGCAAAGGAUAAAG
Long non-coding RNA from Bos taurus (domestic cattle), 1017 nucleotides. The record is from Ensembl. Lineage: Eukaryota; Metazoa; Chordata; Mammalia; Artiodactyla; Bovidae.